AUUGAACGCUGGCGGCAGGCCUAACACAUGCAAGUCGAGCGGAUGAAGGGAGCUUGCUCCUGGAUUCAGCGGCGGACGGGUGAGUAAUGCCUAGGAAUCUGCCCGGUAGUGGGGGAUAACGUCCGGAAACGGGCGCUAAUACCGCAUACGUCCUGAGGGAGAAAGUGGGGGAUCUUCGGACCUCACGCUAUCAGAUGAGCCUAGGUCGGAUUAGCUAGUUGGUGGGGUAAAGGCCUACCAAGGCGACGAUCCGUAACUGGUCUGAGAGGAUGAUCAGUCACACUGGAACUGAGACACGGUCCAGACUCCUACGGGAGGCAGCAGUGGGGAAUAUUGGACAAUGGGCGAAAGCCUGAUCCAGCCAUGCCGCGUGUGUGAAGAAGGUCUUCGGAUUGCAAAGCACUUUAAGUUGGGAGGAAGGGCAGUAAGUUAAUACCUUGCUGUUUUGACGUUACCAACAGAAUAAGCACCGGCUAACUUCGUG
Molecule: ribosomal RNA, 484 nt
Filed under: uncultured bacterium
Lineage: Bacteria
Description: partial 16S ribosomal RNA
Rfam family: Bacterial small subunit ribosomal RNA
Source: RNAcentral